AUUGAACGCUGGCGGCAUGCCUUACACAUGCAAGUCGAACGGCAGCACGGGGCAACCUGGUGGCGAGUGGCGAACGGGUGAGUAAUGCAUCGGAACGUGCCAUUGAGUGGGGGAUAACGUAGCGAAAGUUGCGCUAAUACCGCAUAUUCUGUGAGCAGGAAAGCAGGGGACCGCAAGGCCUUGCGCUCUUUGAGCGGCCGAUGUCAGAUUAGCUAGUUGGUGAGGUAACGGCUUACCAAGGCGACGAUCUGUAGCGGGUCUGAGAGGAUGAUCCGCCACACUGGAGCUGAGACACGGUCCAGACUCCUACGGGAGGCAGCAGUGGGGAAUUUUGGACAAUGGGCGCAAGCCUGAUCCAGCCAUGCCGCGUGAGUGAAGAAGGCCU
This 385-nucleotide ribosomal RNA is filed under the name uncultured bacterium. RNAcentral describes it as "bacterial SSU rRNA". It matches the Rfam family "Bacterial small subunit ribosomal RNA", at positions 30 to 417 of the family's 1533-position model. The record is from RNAcentral.